UCUUUAAUUGGGUUAUCUGUUAAAACGUGAAAAGUCCAACAAAAGCGUUAUUUAUCUUCACAAUUGCACUACUUGUUGUCGUACUGUAUGUCUAGAAACCUAAUAAAUGGCACAAAAUAUUUACAGAUAGGACCUACGAGUGCGUCUUUCUGUCGUUGACCUGCCUGGAAUGGAGGUCUUUUACUUCCGGAAACACAUCUAAGCAUUGUGGGAUUUGCAGUUCUUCUAGCAGGUAGCUGUGGAAAUUAAGUGACACCAUCCAACCGACUAAGCUCUGCUCGCUUACAGCGGCUUCCUGAAGCAGUCACAACAAGUGGCUAGACACAACACAUGAGAGAAAGAGUGCAAGUUACUAAGUUUUGUCAAGAUUACCCAUCUCUUAGGACUGCGUGGAAAGUCUCCUGAACCAACUAAUAGCUCUUCAUGGUGAUAUUCUGGAUGUCUUCUCUCGGACUGGCCCAGUUCGAUUCCACUCCUGGAAGUUCUCAGAUAAGCUUUCAUUCGAUCUGGACCUGGUGCCACAAUUAGAACAAUACGACUUUGUUGAUGGGGAGGUGGAAUUCAAUCAGCAUUCACAUUGUUUUGCUGAAUUUGGUGAUUUAAGUGAUAAUGCCCGAGAAGACGGUGUUUUGAGGAUAUAUUGACACGGGUGUUGUUAGUAGAGGGCCAGCAAACCGUGCCAAUAUAUCCUCCAAACACCGGCUUCGAGGGCAUUACCACUUUUAUACGGGUUACCAACAUAUUAAAAUAAUGAUUUACAUAUUUUCAUUAAAAACGUUAUUUAAAAAAAAAAAUGUGUUCAUACAAUUUCAUCCUUACACAAGAUAUAGUCCCGACACAAAUCGGGACUAUAUAUGCUACUCAAACUGGCUGGUCGUUUGUUCAAUCGGUUCGUUUGCCAGAGACGCGACCUAGUAUUUUUGUUCUGUAUCUAUGGACGAGACCCAGUCGUUCGUUCUAAAUGUUCCAUUGCCAUACUAGCUGGCAACGUUAUUAUCCUUUGCCUUCUAGCUAGCCAACUACGGCUAAUUCAGUCAUGUCAAAAAUUGCAUUCAGAAUAACAGCAAAGUAGCUACAUUUGCAUUUGUUUACGCUGUUUUGUGGAGACAUCCAUAACAAUGAGUUAAUGAGGCGCGAUUUCGUCUCAUAGAAAAUGUGCUCAUUUGUCAGGACACCGUUAUUUAGAGCAACUGAAGCUGGAAAGACUGCAAACUAGCUGCACUUCGUUUCGUUUGACCUUUUUUUCAAUUUACAUUUUUUGUAUAUAUAUCUAUAAAAAUGAAGCCCGCUGUUUCAUGAUUUCGACCGGCUGAGAAACGCUGCCUGCCUGUCUUCUCCCAACUCGUUCAUUACUAUGGGACGGCUGGAGAUCGAAUUUGAAUAUUGAAACAAUUUGGCAAAUGUCGGCGAGACAGACCGCAAGGUUUAUACAAAUCAUACUGUUGAAAACUAAAUGUUAGUCUAAAAGAAAUGUGAGUUAAUGUCUAGAUGCUUUUUAUAGUGGAGAUCAAGUUUAUAAAUUGCUUGGCUGGGCUGAUGAGCCAGUGGAUUGUGCAGUCAGAUGGAACAGAGUAAAUAGGCAUUUUUAACUUCAUAGAUUAGCCAGUGGUAAAUUGUGGAAUAGACACCAUCUGAAAUGCGGAUUUAGCCAAUCUGCAUUCAGGAUUAGACCCACCCGUAGCUAGAGAAUAGUUGGAAAUUAACGAUACAUGACUGUAAUCCAUUUAUUUUCCCUAGAUUACUACUCCUGCUGCAAAGUUUCAGUGCAUAUGCAGAGCAGUUGAAGUUUGGACAGAAAGAAAACAUGAAGCAAACAGCUCCAUGUGUAUCAAUUGGCCUUGUAGUUGGACACUAUUGGAAUAACUUUAUCCAGAUUGGCAACCAGAAGCAUGAAGCUAGAUAUUCAAGAAUUGAUCAAAACUCCAAAGUAUGAGGAAAACACCACUUUCUCUUUAGCAUCCUCACUCCUGACCACAAAAAGGGAUAUUUGUCCACAGUCUCCAUCUGUAGUGUCUCAGCACUGUACUUCAAGAACAACAGCAAGCACUCCAUUCCUCCACAGACGAUAACAAAUGGCGGCCCCUCCUGUCCUACUCGCAGAACAGCAAGCAUCAUCCCCUCCUGCCUUUCCCCUAUAUCCACAGACACUCAUAAUGUAAGUUGCCAGACAGUAGAGUCCUCCCUUGUCCCCUGUGAUGCCUGUGCUCAGGUCCAGUCCAGCCUGAGGGAGACUGGUGAUGCUCUUGUGGAGCUGUGUCAGAGCGAGGGCCUUCCCACCUCUCUACAGCGCCUCCUGGUGGCUGUGGAUGACACUAUGUAGCAGGGCCGUCUCACUGUAGGAGAUGUGUCCCAGUGGUCCACAGAGCAGCACAGGGACAUGGGUCAGGUGGGAAAGCAUCUGCUGAAGGUGCAGGGCUCAGCUGGGGGAGGGAACAGGAGGAACUAAAGCGUGAAUGGGCAAAGGACCAAGCAAGACUGUAGGAGGCCCAGGCAUCCAGGAAGGAGACAGAGAGGAGACUGCAGGACGAACAUGAGGAGCUGAGGUGAGGCUCCUUGUCCCUGGAGGAUAGCAACUCCAAACUGAAGGCAGAGAUUAGUUUGCAACAAAAAAGGUUACACAAACUCAAGUGUGAGAGAGAUAAGCUACAUCAGGAAGUGAAGGCCUUGCAGGUAGAGGAAGAGGCACGGAAUAAACAAGAGGAGAAGACACAAACACUGGAGGCUCAACUGUCCAGUACUCAGCUCUUACUUGACAAAGAGAACUCCAAGUACCAGAAUGCAUGUCACCAACAGGAGUCACUGCAGGCCAAGCAGAUGUCUCUAUUGGAGAGAGUGGAUGCUCUGGACCAGGAGUGUGAGGAGCUUCAAGGACAGUUGGGGGAGACUGAGGACACACAGACAGGCCUUCAGGAUAGACUGACACACAUCUCAGCGGAGAAGGACCAACUUAAAACCCAGCUCACCCAAGAACAGUCCUUGAGGCCUUGUGUUCUGAGCUGCAGCAGGAGAAGCAGAGAUUGGAGAGUCAUGUGAGCAAGCUGAAAGACAGUUUGGAUCAGCUGAGAGGAGAGGUGCAGGAGUUAGCACAGAGGGAGGCUGCUGGUGGCAUUCCCAGAGCUCAACCCACUGCCUCAGGGACCGCCACAGAGUAGGAUCACUUCCCUAAAUAACUCAGAGCAUUUUCUACAACCUCUCUCAGCAGCUUUGGAUUCUCCCAGUCUGCCUGACGCUCCCAGAGAGAGACAGCUAAAUCCCACCCCCUACGUACAAAACAGCCCUCUAAGUCAACACCACAGAAAGAACAUAUACAUAUAUGUAUACUGCAGACAGACCUCCAGUGCAGGAGUGUUGAAACAUUGAUUGCGGAGGAAGGGAGCAGACAAAGGGGAUUCCAUCCCUGUGGUGAUGGGGUCUUGGGAUCACGUCUCUGCCACCUUCUCUACAGCUCUGGUGCACCAGCGGACUCUACGGCUCUCCCCAGACACCAGCGCAGCCAGAGCCUAAGCAAAGAUACGCCAGGCGUCCCAGGCGCCAGGCGUUUUUGGAGCAUAGUAAUGCCGAAAGAGGCUGUUAGAAGUAUAUGUCAGGCUUCUCCAUCAGGAGACUGCAGUAAGGCAUUGCAUUGUAGCUCAUACACAUAGUUGUUUGUGUAUCAGCUGAGGCAGAUGCAGAAAAGUUAUAGAGUUCAGGAUCUUGGCAACAUUGAGCUGGCUUGAAGUUGCUAUUUAACUGAAAAUGAAUUUGAUUCAUUCACAAACUGUGGUAUCAUGUUUUUUCUUUCUUGAACUGUUAUGUUAAUCACUUUGCUACUUUGGAUUGCAAAUGUGCAUUUGUUGACUUCACGCAUUUAGCAAAAUUAUCCCCAGGGGAUAGUGAAACAGUUACCUAGUUUAGAAUGGUAAAGCAAUAAGACUGAGCAUAACGAGCCUAUCAAGCACAUUCAUUAUUUAAACUCAUAAAGAAUCUGGUCAUGCACAAACACACACUAAAAAUAAGUGUCUUAAAAUGAUCAGUCUAGAAAAGGGAGUGGCUAGGUAAAAGACAAGCCAUGGUGUGUGUCUGUGUGUUUAGCUAAGUGUGUGGUCUUCUAGGCUCUACUAUUGUGUCACCAACACAAUGCCACGAAUGCAGAUGUGUCUAAUGAUUUACAGAGUACUCUGACGAGGGAGGGGUAAGUUCCUAUGGCAACAUUGAUGAUCAGAGCAUGACAUCUUGUGUGGGUUCCCUCCUGUCCUUACUGUCAGUCCAACCCUUCACCUAUUGAGGAGUAUACUUGAUGGUAGAACAACCAAUUCAUUGUGAAGUAUGCUUCCCAUGGCAUGUUAGGGUGCAAUAUUUUUGUCCUUUCUUUGUAUUUCCUUGCACUAGAAAUGCCAAAUUACUUUUCUGAAGGUGGGUUAAAAAAUAAAAACAAAAUAUGGCAGACACAGUAUUUAUCUGAAAAUGUAAAAUGGAGCAUUGUAUGAUCAAUUUAGUUAUUUUAAUAGUAUGCUACCCUGUAAAAAUAACUAUUCAGAAUGCUGCUUCAAAACAUUUAUUUGUCACAAAAUAACUUAUUUUAGACUAUACAACAAAAAGACAUUUGGAUGUGAAAGUAUAGAGUACAUAGGUACAGUCAGACCUCAUAUCGCACUGUGCUUACUGAUACACAAAAGACAAAGACCGUAACUCAGAGGUGAGGAAAUGUUCAGCUUGCCAAAAGCACCAGUGUCAACAACUGCAACUUGCCCCCACAGGAAAAAGAGAGACAUGGUGGAAGAAGGACACAGUCAUUUGCAGUUAGAAACUUAAACAAUGUGCAAAGUUGUACAAAAAUCCAUUGAAUAUUUUUGGUAUCCCCGCAUCCAAUAACAUUAGAUUAUUUCAAAGGUUAUAUCUGUUGUUCAAAUCAAUUGAAUGUUAUAUAGUCAUUUACAAUAUAAUAUCCUAUGAGUAAAUACUGAGAUUAUAACAGGGAAAACUACUUGGAUAGAGGAAAAAAAAAAUACCUGAACAACAAUUUAGAUUUCACGUAAGCUUUGGGAAUCAUUCCGUAUUCAUGAAAACAUAUUUAAGGCCAUUGGUUACUUGUGUCAUAUUUACAUAAGCAUACUGGUUUGUUUAUAAUAACUAAUAAAUAGUGAUAAAGAGACAAAACAACAUAUUUCUGAGUACAACACUAAGUUGAGCUACAGACACUUCUGAGGCUGGUAGCCAGUAGUCAGGGAAUCAUGCUCAUUCUUCAUCAUUCUAAGGGCUGUGGUAUAUAGAAACCGCUAAUAACAUUAAGGCAAUGUUUCAGUAACAUUAUUAAAACACAGAUAAAUGGUAGAUGUUUUACCACAAUCUCCAAACGUGACAACCAUGCAAAUCUACACCUAAUAGGUAACAAAAUAACACCUCGUCAGGACUUGACUGAAAACUUCAGCCAUUGGAAUGCUAUGAUUAUCACCUUAAGACAUUGUUACAUCUUAGACACCGACAGGAAAGGGAGUAACUGUUGGUGAGAGUGCUGUCUCUCCGAGACAUUCAGUGUAAUUCAGCACUGUGUGAUCUCACAUAUGUGUUUUAUCAUCUAGGUCAAGCUAUUAGGCAGCUACAGGGACCGCUGCAAAUCUGUCAGAUUACAGAGGCCUCAUGAGGAUGAGGGAUGUCGUAUGGCUGGCAUAACUCCCAAUCUCUGUUUGCCAAUAUGCUUUUAAGCAGCAGCACCACCACCAAAUACCCUGUUCUGGUACAUCAUGCACUGGGUUUGUACUUGCCUUACAAAAAGCAUGUAUUAAAUCAUAUGCACAUAAAAUUGUCAGAGACUCCAGUCACCCAAGUCUUAGACUGUUCUCUCUGCUACCUCACGACAAGCGGUACCAGAACGGAAAGUUUAGGUCCAAAAGGCCCCUUAACAGCUUCUACCCCCAAGCCAUAAGACUGCUGAACAAUUAAUCAAAUGGCCACUUGGAGUAUUUUCUGUGACCCCCCCCACCCCAGAUUUUGUUUUU
This is an RNA transcript of Oncorhynchus tshawytscha (Chinook salmon), 5975 nucleotides long. RefSeq lists it as uncharacterized. The transcript is spliced from 8 exons. NCBI's taxonomy places the organism in Eukaryota, Metazoa, Chordata, Actinopteri, Salmoniformes, Salmonidae. The record is from RefSeq and is a predicted model, not a curated record.